GGAGUCUGGGCCGUGUCUCAGUCCCAAUGUGGCCGUUCAACCUCUCAGUCCGGCUACUGAUCGUCGACUUGGUGAGCCGUUACCUCACCAACUAUCUAAUCAGACGCGAGCCCAUCUCUGAGCGAUAAAUCUUUGAUAGCCAAAAGAUGCCAUUCGACUAUGUUAUGAGGUAUUACCAUCCGUUUCCAGAGGCUAUCCCUCUCUCAGAGGCAGGUUGCUCACGUGUUACUCACCCGUCCGCCACUAAGAAUAAAGACGAAUCCUUAUUCUCCGUUCGACUUGCAUGUGUUAAGCGUGCCGCCAGCGUUCGUCCUGAGCCACUGAUCAAACUCU
Molecule: ribosomal RNA, 333 nt
Filed under: uncultured Oscillospiraceae bacterium
Lineage: Bacteria; Bacillati; Bacillota; Clostridia; Eubacteriales; Oscillospiraceae
Description: partial 16S ribosomal RNA
Source: RNAcentral